CCCAAAAUAGGAGAAAAAGGUGACAAAUUCCUAAAAUAGUUGACAAAAGGUGACAACAUUGAAAAUAGGUGACAAAAGGUGACUCUGUGCUGACUGAGGUUCAUUUCCUACUGUAGCUUUGGUAAUCUUCGAAAAUGAUUAACUUUUCACGAGACCUCGGAACACACGUAAAACGCUAUAGGUGGAUUCUGAAAUGUCAACUCAGAAACCUCCAAAAAAAAAGGAGUACUAAAGGGCGAAUGAUCUAUUUAAAAAAAAUCCUCAUUGAAUGUUUAGAUUUGAAGGAGAAAAAUCUCUCCCGAAGUUGAUAUUAUUUAAACGUUUGAAAGCCGGAAAGCAUUCUUGUAUCGAGGAUUAAAGCCAAAAAGCUGGAGGUGUAUCAGAAGACUCGAAAUCUCAUUCUGCAAGCCCAAGAAAGUGCUGAAAUACAAACAGUUUCGAACAGCAUGCAUCCUGGAUCACGAGAGCGAGAAAGGCCGCAAAAUGAAAUAUCUAAGAACACUGUACGACUUUUCGUCGUUAGCUUUUACGGUCACAUACAUUUAAUCAGCAGGGUGAACUACCAAUUGAGUUGUACAAG
This is a long non-coding RNA of Belonocnema kinseyi, 580 nucleotides long. RefSeq lists it as uncharacterized. The transcript has 3 exons. Lineage: Eukaryota; Metazoa; Arthropoda; Insecta; Hymenoptera; Cynipidae. The record is from RefSeq and is a predicted model, not a curated record.